Molecule: ribosomal RNA, 587 nt
Filed under: Ligilactobacillus salivarius
Lineage: Bacteria; Bacillati; Bacillota; Bacilli; Lactobacillales; Lactobacillaceae
Description: bacterial SSU rRNA
Rfam family: Bacterial small subunit ribosomal RNA
Source: RNAcentral
UCACCGUAAGAAGUUGAGUGGCGGACGGGUGAGUAACACGUGGGUAACCUGCCUAAAAGAAGGGGAUAACACUUGGAAACAGGUGCUAAUACCGUAUAUCUCUAAGGAUCGCAUGAUCCUUAGAUGAAAGAUGGUUCUGCUAUCGCUUUUAGAUGGACCCGCGGCGUAUUAACUAGUUGGUGGGGUAACGGCCUACCAAGGUGAUGAUACGUAGCCGAACUGAGAGGUUGAUCGGCCACAUUGGGACUGAGACACGGCCCAAACUCCUACGGGAGGCAGCAGUAGGGAAUCUUCCACAAUGGACGCAAGUCUGAUGGAGCAACGCCGCGUGAGUGAAGAAGGUCUUCGGAUCGUAAAACUCUGUUGUUAGAGAAGAACACGAGUGAGAGUAACUGUUCAUUCGAUGACGGUAUCUAACCAGCAAGUCACGGCUAACUACGUGCCAGCAGCCGCGGUAAUACGUAGGUGGCAAGCGUUGUCCGGAUUUAUUGGGCGUAAAGGGAACGCAGGCGGUCUUUUAAGUCUGAUGUGAAAGCCUUCGGCUUAACCGGAGUAGUGCAUUGGAAACUGGAAGACUUGAGUGCAGA